GGUUAAGUGACUAAGCGUACAGGGCGGAUGCCUUGGCAAUCAGAGGCGAUGAAGGACGUGCUAAUCUGCGAAAAGCUUGGAUGAGUCGAUAAGAGGCGUUUAAUCCAAGAUGUCCGAAUGGGGAAACCCAGUAGAUGAAGAAUCUACUAUCAAUAAAUGAAUACAUAGUUUAUUGAGGCGAACCGGGAGAACUGAAACAUCUAAGUACCCCGAGGAAAAGAAAUCAACCGAGAUUCUGUGAGUAGCGGCGAGCGAAAGCGGAAGAGCCAGUAAGUUUUAGCUAGCGUAUUAGAGGAAUUGGCUGGGAAGCCAAAUCAAAGAGGGUGAUAAUCCCGUACUCGAAAGUAUGGUAGUGGAACUAAGCUUACGAUAAGUAAGGCGGGACACGAGAAAUCCUGUUUGAAGAUGGGGGGACCAUCCUCCAAGGCUAAAUACUCCUGAUUGACCGAUAGUGAACCAGUACUGUGAAGGAAAGGCGAAAAGAACCCCGGUGAGGGGAGUGAAAUAGAACCUGAAACCCUGUACGUACAAGCAGUAGGAGCGAGGGCAACCUUGUGACUGCGUACCUUUUGUAUAAUGGGUCAGCGACUUAUAUUUUGUAGCGAGGUUAACUGAAUAAGGGAGCCGAAGGGAAACCGAGUCUUAACUGGGCGUUGAGUUGCAAGGUAUAGACCCGAAACCCGGUGAUCUAGCCAUGGGCAGGUUGAAGGUUGGGUAACACUAACUGGAGGACCGAACCGACUAAUGUUGAAAAAUUAGCGGAUGACUUGUGGCUGGGGGUGAAAGGCCAAUCAAACCGGGAGAUAGCUGGUUCUCCCCGAAAUCUAUUUAGGUAGAGCCUUGAGCGGACACCUUCGGGGGUAGAGCACUGUUUCGGCUAGGGGUCCAUCCCGGAUUACCAACCCGAUGCAAACUGCGAAUACCGAAGAGUGAUACUCAGGAGACACACGGCGGGUGCUAACGUUCGUCGUGGAGAGGGAAACAACCCAGACCGCCAGCUAAGGUCCCGAAGUCUAUAUUAAGUGGGAAACGAAGUGGGAAGGCUUAGACAGCUAGGAUGUUGGCUUAGAAGCAGCCAUCAUUUAAAGAAAGCGUAAUAGCUCACUAGUCGAGUCGGCCUGCGCGGAAGAUGUAACGGGGCUCAAAUAUAGCACCGAAGCUGCGGCAUCAGAAUUUAUUCUGUUGGGUAGGGGAGCGUUGUGUAAGCGGAUGAAGGUGGCUCGAGAGGGUUGCUGGACGUAUCACAAGUGCGAAUGCUGACAUAAGUAACGAUAAAACGAGUGAAAAACUCGUUCGCCGGAAGACCAAGGGUUCCUGUCCAACGUUAAUCGGGGCAGGGUGAGUCGGCCCCUAAGGCGAGGCUGAAAAGCGUAGUCGAUGGGAAACGGGUUAAUAUUCCCGUACUUGGAUAAACUGCGAUGUGGGGACGGAGAAGGUUAGGUUAGCAGACUGUUGGAUGUCUGUUUAAGGUGGUAGGUGGAAGACUUAGGCAAAUCCGGGUCUUUAUAAACACUGAGAGCUGAUGACGAGGUCUUAAGGGACUGAAGUAACUGAUACCCUGCUUCCAGGAAAAGCCACUAAGCUUCAGGUUUAUCUAAACCGUACUGAAAACCGACACAGGUGGUCAGGUAGAGAAUACUCAGGCGCUUGAGAGAACUCGGGUGAAGGAACUAGGCAAAAUAGCACCGUAACUUCGGGAGAAGGUGCGCUUACAGUAAUUGUAGUCCCUUGCGGAUGAAGGUGAAGUAAGUCGAAGAUACCAGCUGGCUGCAACUGUUUAUUAAAAACACAGCACUCUGCAAACACGAAAGUGGACGUAUAGGGUGUGAUGCCUGCCCGGUGCUGGAAGGUUAAUUGAUGGUGUUAUCGAAAGAGAAGCUCCUGAUCGAAGCCCCAGUAAACGGCGGCCGUAACUAUAACGGUCCUAAGGUAGCGAAAUUCCUUGUCGGGUAAGUUCCGACCUGCACGAAUGGCAUAAUGAUGGCCAGGCUGUCUCCACCCGAGACUCAGUGAAAUUGAAAUCGCCGUGAAGAUGCGGUGUACCCGCGGCUAGACGGAAAGACCCCGUGAACCUUUACUAUAGCUUGACACUGAACAUUGAAUUUUGAUGUGUAGGAUAGGUGGGAGCCUUUGAAGCAGUGACGCCAGUCAUUGUGGAGGCGACCUUGAAAUACCACCCUUUAACGUUUGAUGUUCUAACGAAGUGCCUGAAACGGGUACUCGGACAGUGUCUGGUGGGUAGUUUGACUGGGGCGGUCUCCUCCCAAAGCGUAACGGAGGAGCACGAAGGUUUGCUAAUGACGGUCGGACAUCGUCAGGUUAGUGCAAUGGUAUAAGCAAGCUUAACUGCGAGACAGACAAGUCGAGCAGGUGCGAAAGCAGGUCAUAGUGAUCCGGUGGUUCUGAAUGGAAGGGCCAUCGCUCAACGGAUAAAAGGUACUCCGGGGAUAACAGGCUGAUACCGCCCAAGAGUUCAUAUCGACGGCGGUGUUUGGCACCUCGAUGUCGGCUCAUCACAUCCUGGGGCUGAAGUAGGUCCCAAGGGUAUGGCUGUUCGCCAUUUAAAGUGGUACGCGAGCUGGGUUUAGAACGUCGUGAGACAGUUCGGUCCCUAUCUGCCGUGGGCGUUGGAUGAUUGAUUGGGGCUGCUCCUAGUACGAGAGGACCGGAGUGGACGCAUCACUGGUGUUCCAGUUGUCUCGCCAGAGGCAUUGCUGGGUAGCUAAAUGCGGAAGAGAUAAGUGCUGAAAGCAUCUAAGCACGAAACUUGCCAAGAGAUGAGUCAUCCCUGACUUUAAGUCAGUAAGGGUUGUUGUAGACUACGACGUAGAUAGGUUGGGUGUGUAAGUGUAGUGAUACAUUGAGCUAACCAAUACUAAUUGCCCGAGAGGCUUAACCAU
RNAcentral lists this ribosomal RNA (2900 nucleotides) under Pasteurella multocida. RNAcentral describes it as "23S ribosomal RNA". It matches the Rfam family "Bacterial large subunit ribosomal RNA". Lineage: Bacteria; Pseudomonadati; Pseudomonadota; Gammaproteobacteria; Pasteurellales; Pasteurellaceae. The record is from RNAcentral.